AGAUGCCUCCCAGGUUUCAGAAGGCUUCUUCCAAGGAUAUUUCAUGUAUGCAGGUGGGGGAAGAGUUAUAUGUACAGCAGGAAACAUGCAUUGUGUUUUUCACUGAAAAAUUCUGGCUCACAUACCUCUUGACGUCACAACUGAACUCAAUGCCUGUU
This 158-nucleotide long non-coding RNA is filed under the name Dasypus novemcinctus (nine-banded armadillo). RNAcentral describes it as "lncRNA (ENSDNOG00000050708.1)". The record is from RNAcentral. Lineage: Eukaryota; Metazoa; Chordata; Mammalia; Cingulata; Dasypodidae.